This 450-nucleotide ribosomal RNA is filed under the name uncultured Glomeromycotina. Its description in RNAcentral is "SSU rRNA". It matches the Rfam family "Eukaryotic small subunit ribosomal RNA", at positions 569 to 1020 of the family's 1831-position model. The record is from RNAcentral. Lineage: Eukaryota; Fungi; Glomeromycota.
AGCAGCCGCGGUAAUUCCAGCUCCAAUAGCGUAUAUUAAAGUUGUUGCAGUUAAAAAGCUCGUAGUUGAAUUUCGGGGUUCAUCCGUUGGUCGGGCUUUUUUGGUCUGUACUGGCGUGAUGGAUUCCUACCUUCUGAAUAACCAGCAUGUCAUUAAUUUGGUGCGCUGGGGAAGCAGGACUGUUACCUUGAAAAAAUUAGAGUGCUUAAAGCAGGCUAUCGCCUGAAUACAUUAGCAUGGAAUAAUGAAAUAGGACGGCAUGGUUCUAUUUUGUUGGUUUCUAGGAUCACCGUAAUGAUUAAUAGGGAUAGUUGGGGGCAUUAGUAUUCAAUUGUCAGAGGUGAAAUUCUUGGAUUUAUUGAAGACUAACUUCUGCGAAAGCAUUUGCCAAGGAUGUUUUCAUUAAUCAAGAACGAAAGUUAGGGGAUCGAAGACGAUCAGAUACCGUCG